GCCGAAGUGGUGGAACUGGCAGACACGCAGGAUUUAGGUUCCUGUGCGCGUGCGCGUGAGGGUUCGACUCCCUUCUUCGGCA
RNAcentral lists this transfer RNA (82 nucleotides) under Propionibacteriaceae bacterium. RNAcentral describes it as "tRNA-Leu". It matches the Rfam family "tRNA". Rfam says of the family: Transfer RNA (tRNA) molecules are approximately 80 nucleotides in length. Their secondary structure includes four short double-helical elements and three loops (D, anti-codon, and T loops). Further hydrogen bonds mediate the characteristic L-shaped molecular structure. tRNAs have two regions of fundamental functional importance: the anti-codon, which is responsible for specific mRNA codon recognition, and the 3' end, to which the tRNAs corresponding amino acid is attached (by aminoacyl-tRNA synthetases). tRNAs cope with the degeneracy of the genetic code in two manners: having more than one tRNA (with a specific anti-codon) for a particular amino acid; and 'wobble' base-pairing, i.e. permitting non-standard base-pairing at the 3rd anti-codon position. Lineage: Bacteria; Bacillati; Actinomycetota; Actinomycetes; Propionibacteriales; Propionibacteriaceae. The record is from RNAcentral.